AUGUUAAUAAACAGUCUAAAACAAGAGAANUAUGUACACAUUUUAGUUAUUGUGAUUUUUGGAAGAAAAAGUUUUAUUUUUUUUAUUUUUUUUUUUCAUACACUGAUUUUCAUUUUACAUAUAUUCUAUAUGUUAAAUGUAAAAGGGAAGCUGAAACUGUCUUGUGUUAAGUACUGUCUAUUGCUGAAUGAGUUCGGGACUCUUAUUUUGAAAAUGAGGAUUCGUAUAGAGGAGCGUGUUGCGCCCUCACAAUUGCUGGGGAUUAUGUACGACACAGACACGUUUGCUCCUGUCUCCUCAAUUUUUCCUGUGUUUACAGACUAAUGAAAUUGAAGUAUCCAAAUGAAGACCCUAGCGGAUACAGACGUUGCCAGCAAUCAGGAGGUGAUCCAGAAGACUCGUGGGAAUCUAUAUGAAGGUGCAUCAUUGAAGACAGUCCAGCAGAUGUUGAAGUGUUGGAAGAUAAAGUUCUUCAGGACCUUAGCAGUUUACAGCAUGCAAAACCAUGUUGCUGGGACAGAUAUAUGCACUAAACUUGAGCAACCCUCCUGAACUCAGGUACACAUUUGGAGUACUGAAGUUGUUGUUUCUGGAGCCAGUUCCUGUUCCUGGAAUAAGGUUUGAUUGGUUACCCAUGAAUGCCAAUUAGAAAAUGAGAGUAGUUUGAUAUUUCUGCUAUUUUGUGUCAUUUUGUAAUGUGGUUUCAGCUGUAUUUAACUGUGUGUAAUUAUUUAAUGCUUGUUUAACAAAUACACUUUGAUCAUUUGUGAUAUCUUGUCUUUUGACUCAUUACAAGACAAAUCACACAAAAAAUGCUUUGUUGACGGGAGUAACUUUAAAUAGAAAACAUUUAAAGUAACUAGAACUAAUUGGAUAGAACCACUGUCCAAAAAUUAAAUGAUUAAUUUGAAACAAACCUCCUGAUGUUGAUAGAGUGAAACUAAUUUGGCUAGAUUGUAAUAAACCAAAACAUGUUCAGUUAACUUAACCGGUU
Molecule: long non-coding RNA, 994 nt
Organism: Cyprinus carpio (common carp)
Lineage: Eukaryota; Metazoa; Chordata; Actinopteri; Cypriniformes; Cyprinidae
Source: Ensembl